This 214-nucleotide long non-coding RNA is filed under the name Cicer arietinum (chickpea). RNAcentral describes it as "long non-coding RNA (CARI_LNC002714)". Lineage: Eukaryota; Viridiplantae; Streptophyta; Magnoliopsida; Fabales; Fabaceae. The record is from RNAcentral.
CUAUUAUUAGUUAUAUCCCAAAUUGCAGUAUUUCCAAUUCAGCCCCUCAUUAAAUUAGAAACUGUCUGGUAUCUACACUAUUAAUUUUCAUAACCAUUAUGCUCUUUAGCCAUAAACUAUUAUAUUUUAUUUGACCCCUAGUUUAUUGGCUAAUUAUAUAAUGACCCUAACACACUUUAUUAAUUAAUUACAUAUGUGACCCAUAAAUCUUACA